AUGGGCUCAUUCAUGGCUCCACUAUUGGAAGAAACUCGUGCGGAUCUCUGCUCCGCACUGCGCGGCAUCCGGCACGCGCCGGUGGCCCAAGUGAUCUGGAUCCAACAGGAACGCACUUCAGAAUUCUGUAUCUCGUUCAAGGAACCUCGGCCAGCUGGUAGUUACGCCCCGAAAGUCGAGGAUAUAUUGGUGCUCACAAGUCGGAAACCGACCCGCCACAUAGACUUGGACCCAUUUGUCAUAGCUGUAGUGCCUCCAUCCGAAGAUAUGGUAGACACUGGCACAACAAUAUUAAUAAGGCUGCUGUCGGGUAAACUACCUGUCAAACGACAAGGUCAAAAAGAAGUGAUCGCAUUGCCUCUUUUUGCAGUCUUUCUUAUCAAUAUGAAGACCAACAAUCAUAUACAUGAUGCACUGGAACUGAAAGCCGGCAUCCUUAGCCGUUGGGGCAGUAGCCUCGUAGAGAGGAUUGCAGAGUAUGCUCCAACUUCAGGGUUAGCGUCAGAUAAGGCGCUGGAUGGCCUUGAAAAAUUCAAGCUCAACACCUCACAGCAGAAGGCGGUACUUGAUUGUGUUUCAGCAAUGGAUGAAGCUAGGUGCUGGGUGCGCCUUAUCUGGGGACCACCUGGAACAGGGAAAACCAAGGCCAUCAUAUCUCUCUUGUGGUCAAUGCUGAAGAAAAACCGCAGGACACUAGCUUGCGCUCCGACCAACACGGCGGUUGUGGAGGUUGCCUCCCGUGUCCUCGGUCUUCUCGAGGAUGAGUCCUACGGCGGCGGUGGAAAACACUUCUCCCUGGGCAAUGUCGUGUUGUUUGGCAACGAAGAUCGGAUGAACGUGGAUGAAAACCUUGCAAACAUCUUCUUGGAUUGGCGUGUGUACCGACUUGUGAAUGUGGCGGCGCACUGGAGGCACUAUGUGAAUGGCAUGCUAGAACUUCUUGUGAAGCCGUUGGCCAUGCACUCUUCGUAUCUUAAGGAUGUUCGAUCGGAGCGUACGGGUGAUAUUUUGCGGCUGCAAGGGGUGGGGGAUGCUGAACUAGAGAGGAGGAGGAAGUUGACAUUCAAGGAAUUCUUCAUAGACAAUUACCAAUGUCAUGAGGAAGCACCGCGCCACUGCUUCGAGACUCUCCGCAAUGAUCUUCCCUUACCCGCUAGGAGAUUUGAUUACCUGGAUGAGAUCCUGCGCUCACUCGAAGCUUUCGGGAAACUUCUCCGGUCGGAGCCGGAGCGCCCUCUGGGGAAACUCUUCUUAAAAAACGGGGGGUGGCCAGAGUUCCAAGAAGCAAGAGCAUUGUGUCUUAACAAGCUAAAACACUUGCCCGAUUGGUUUGAUUUGCUUCCAAGCGAUUCAAGCAAAAUCGAAGACUACAUACUGAACAACGCCACGAUCAUACUUUGCACUGCUGCUAGCUCAUUCAAUCUGCGACGUGUCCGUGAUUUCAAGCCGUUUGAGCUCCUUGUUAUCGAUGAGGCGGCGCAGCUGAAGGAGUGUGAGUCGCUGAUACCUCUACAGCUUGGUAUCCACCGUGCUGUUCUUAUCGGUGAUGAAUGCCAGCUACCAGCGCUUGUCAAAAGCAAGCUCAGCGCCGAGGCCGGCUUUGGAAGAAGUCUGUUCGAGAGGCUUUGCUUGCUAGGACACCCGAAGCACCUCCUCGAUGUGCAGUACAGGAUGCACCCGGAAAUAAGCAAGUUCCCCAUCUCAAGUUUUUACUGUAGGAAGGUGACAGAUGGCCCCAACGUCCUUCACAGAGACUACGAGAGGAAGCUCCUGGAUGGCCCAAUGUAUGGCCCCUACUCCUUCAUCAACAUCCAAGGUGGGAUCGAAAGCUCGGGCAUGCAUGGCACAAGCCUGAGCAACGCUGCUGAGGUCGCUGCGGUGACCCGGAUUGUGCAGAGAUUGUCCCAAGUUGACACAAGAAGCAAGCUCAGCGUGGGCGUGGUAUCGCCGUACAAGGCCCAAGUCCGCGCCAUCCAGGAGAGCCUUGCUUUGGAGCACGACAAGUAUUGCGGUUUAUCCGUAAAGAUCCGAACCGUGGACGGGUUCCAGGGUGCCGAGGAGGAUGUCGUCAUCUUCUCCGCCGUGCGGGCCAAUACCCAUGGAUCGGUCGGGUUCCUCUCCGAUCAGAGGCGUACCAACGUGGCGCAAACACGGGCCAAGCAUUGCUUCUGGAUUCUUGGCGACGCGGCUACAUUGUCGAGCAGCAGGACAGUCUGGCAGAAGAUAGUGGCCGAUGCAAAAGAAAGAGGAUGCUUCUAUGAUGGCAACGACGACAAAGACCUCUGUGCUGUGGUGAGUGUCGCGAUCAAGCAGGAUGAAGUCAACCGUCUGCUCAAGAUGGUGGAUGCUCGUCUUGGUAUAUGCAGCUCAUGA
This 2373-nucleotide ribosomal RNA is filed under the name Triticum aestivum (bread wheat). RNAcentral's name for it is "partial small subunit ribosomal RNA". The record is from RNAcentral. Lineage: Eukaryota; Viridiplantae; Streptophyta; Magnoliopsida; Poales; Poaceae.